AGUGAACGCUGGCGGUAGGCCUAACACAUGCAAGUCGAACGGCAGCACAGUAAGAGCUUGCUCUUACGGGUGGCGAGUGUCGGACGGGUGGGGAAUACAUCGGAAUCUACUUUUUCGUGGGGGAUACCGUAGGGAAACUUACGCUAAUACCGCAUACGACCUACGGGUGAAAGCAGGGGACCUUCGGACCUUGCGCGAUUGACUGAGCCGAUGUCGGAUUAGCUAGUUGGCGGGGUAAAGGCCCACCAAGGCGACGAUCCGUAGCUGGUCUGAGAGGAUGGACAGCCACACUGGAACUGAGGCACGGUCCAGACUCCUACGGGAGGCAGCAGUGGGGAAUAUUGGACAAGGGGGGCAAGCCUGAUCCAGCCAUACCGCGUGGGUGAAGAAGGCCUUCGGGUUGGAAAGCCCUUUUGUUGGGAAAGAAAAGCAGCAGGUUAAUACCCCGCUGUUCUGACGGUACCCAAAUAAUAAGCACCGGCUAACUUCGUG
This 492-nucleotide ribosomal RNA is filed under the name uncultured bacterium. Its description in RNAcentral is "partial 16S ribosomal RNA". It matches the Rfam family "Bacterial small subunit ribosomal RNA", at positions 29 to 507 of the family's 1533-position model. The record is from RNAcentral.